RNAcentral lists this ribosomal RNA (357 nucleotides) under Triticum aestivum (bread wheat). RNAcentral describes it as "partial small subunit ribosomal RNA". Lineage: Eukaryota; Viridiplantae; Streptophyta; Magnoliopsida; Poales; Poaceae. The record is from RNAcentral.
AUGGGGGUCUCUCGCAGCAACAACAACAACAGCAAGACGCUGGUGCUCCUGGUCUGCUUCCUCCUCCUUGUGGCCUCCCCGUUCCUGCAUGGAGUCGAGUGCUUCGCCGUUGCUUCCGCGACGAGUCCGGAGGAAGCCACUGAGAAGACGCUGAUGGCGGGGAGCACACGGGCGCUGGAGACGGUGGCGCCGAAGCAUCAUCAGCAUGGCCGGGGCUCGGGCGCGUCUGCCAUGUCGAGCAACGCUGGUGGUGGUCUCUGGUCGUCCAAGUCCAAGCCGGCCGUGGCUCGCAGGUUGCUGCCGGCAGGAGCUGGCCAUUCGUGCGGCUCCAGCGGUGGCCAGGGCUGCUCCCCGUAA